GAGCAGGCUCUCUUUUGCUACCUCCGCGUUGGAGAUUGCCAGCGUCCGUUCCCGCAGGGUGAGCUGUGUCGUAUCCCUAUGUGCCUGCUCUCUUGCAACACACUCACACACUCUCAAACUCUCUUUUGCUGAAAUAAUUAUGGCUUCGGGUUGUGAGGAUGGGCUCAGCAAAACCCGAUUAGGGUGACCUAGCGGAACAGUCCGCCGCAGUCACGAGCCACCUCGUGCACACUGUGUAGGCAACUCCCGCUGCUCUGCUCAGCAACAAGCUCACACGACUCAAUCGUCCGUUGUAUUGCAACAACUCUAUUGCAAAUUUCCCCAGAAGAUACACAAUUUUUCAAAAUCAAAGGGGACCAAAAGGUGGUGGGAUUAGGGUUGUGAGCCCGUAGCCAUGCAGAUUAUGUUUAUUGAUUAUUUUAUUGUGACUUACAUAUUGUGGGUGUGUGUUUUUGUACAUAAUAUAAUGACGACCUAUGCAAAUCUUGUCUAGGGUGAGUCAUGGAUGGAGCGCUACAAUUGAAUGCGCUUGGAGUCACUGACAAAUGAGACAAUUGAACCCAGGCAAUAAGUACAUUGGCAUGGAAGAAGCAUUUUCCAAUGAGGUUGUAGAAGACCAAAUGGAGUAUUCCACCCAACUAAGGUGAAACCCGGUGAGAUGUUACCAAAAGGGUAUUCUCGAAACUAUGUAGGAUUCUUAAUGAGGGAGAUCAACUAUGUUAUGAAAGUGGAUCAUAUAGUUGUUAAACAAAAAAUGGAUUUCUUAGCUAUUCCAUACUUUGACGGAGAUAAGCCUCCAAACUUUCAACUUUGAUAGUGGACAAUACCACUGCAAAUAUAAGUGUAGGAAACACUCAUGUUUGGUCGCAACUUAGGCAAAGGCUUUUUCUCAAUUAAAACAAAGAAUAAAAACAUCUUAAAAAACCUUCUAUUAGCAACUCUGUAUAUGUUACCACACAAACUUUACAUCUUCUAGAAGUAGGUCACCAACUUUGAUCCAUUUGUAGAAUAUGAUGGUUUUGCUAUGGCAUAAUUUUUUAGAUUAAAAAUUCUCACAUGGAUUACAUUGAGCCAAGUUUUCAACAAAUUCUAUUAUCAUACUGAGAAGUGGUAUAAUAUAUAAAAAUAUGUAAAAAUAUUAUGAGAAUUUAAUUUGUAAUAAAAAAUAGAAAAUAAAAUAAAAUGAAAGGAUUAAAAAAAAAAAA
This 1205-nucleotide long non-coding RNA is filed under the name Physcomitrium patens. RNAcentral describes it as "long non-coding RNA (PPAT_LNC009531)". The record is from RNAcentral. Lineage: Eukaryota; Viridiplantae; Streptophyta; Bryopsida; Funariales; Funariaceae.